ACGUACACUCCUGCGGGAGGCAGCAGUGGGGAAUUUUGGACAAUGGGCGAAAGCCUGAUCCAGCCAUGCCGCGUGCAGGAUGAAGGCCUUCGGGUUGUAAACUUCUUUUGUACGGAACGAAACGGCCUUUUCUAAUAAAGAGGGCUAAUGACGGUACCGUAAGAAUAAGCACCGGCUAACUACGUGCCAGCAGCCGCGGUAAUACGUAGGGUGCAAGCGUUAAUCGGAAUUACUGGGCGUAAAGCGUGCGCAGGCGGUUAUGUAAGACAGUUGUGAAAUCCCCGGGCUCAACCUGGGAACUGCAUCUGUGACUGCAUAGCUAGAGUACGGUAGAGGGGGAUGGAAUUCCGCGUGUAGCAGUGAAAUGCGUAGAUAUGCGGAGGAACACCGAUGGCGAAGGCAAUCCCCUGGACCUGUACUGACGCUCAUGCACGAAAGCGUGGGGAGCAAACAGGAUUAGAAACCCUUGUAGUCCC
RNAcentral lists this ribosomal RNA (476 nucleotides) under uncultured organism. Its description in RNAcentral is "partial 16S ribosomal RNA". It matches the Rfam family "Bacterial small subunit ribosomal RNA", at positions 329 to 797 of the family's 1533-position model. The record is from RNAcentral.